Bradysia coprophila is the source of this 1131-nucleotide long non-coding RNA. RefSeq lists it as uncharacterized. The record is from RefSeq and is a predicted model, not a curated record. NCBI's taxonomy places the organism in Eukaryota, Metazoa, Arthropoda, Insecta, Diptera, Sciaridae.
GCUUGUCAUGUCAUUGUAUAGUGGAGUGUAAAUGCCGGAGCGCUGUUUCAUAUUAGUUUACAACAAAUAGACGCGACAAUGUGUUGCCGGGAAAAGUACACGAAGCUGGAGGGCGGAUCGAUUGCUAUUGGUGUUAUACACAUUUUUGUUUGCAUUUAUUUCCUCCCUAUUGGUUUCUACAAUAUUGGCUUAAUUGACCAUGCGGGCAAUGAGUGGAAUACUGUGUAUCACAUAUUCGCAAUGACUGUACUCCUUUUCGAGGCAUUUUGUGGUUGGGCUUUCAGUACAACAUUAUUAAUUGGAAUCAAGAAGAGGAAUCCAAAUUGCGUGUUAUCGUACAUAGUGUGGGUGUGCCUCUCACAUUUUUUACUUAACACCAUAUUCCUUAUUAUUACAUUUAUACUGGCUCCAUAUAUAUACACUGAUUUGAGAGGGGAGCCUUCUCCUGAGCAUAUGAAUAUUUUUCGUAAACUUUAUGUCUACACCUGUGUGGCUUACUAUCUCUUUGGAACAGUUUCGUUGAUCAUCAUUUACAAGCAAUUUCAAAUUUUGAAAGAACGAAAGAACUUACUAAAAACUGACAUUGAUGUACGUUAUACGUUGCAAUUCCAUUGAAAAUUUAACAAAUUGACGACGACGCUGAAAAUUCAAAAUGGCAAGGACUUAACAAACGCAUCGACUGAAUUACUCAAAAUUUAAAUUCUGAAGCGCCCUUACGGCGUGAUUUUUCAUUUGAAAAUACUCAAAAUCUGUGACUAAAAUAAGCUUUAAAGAAAAGACUGCUUACGAAAAGUGAAACUUCUGCUGCCUUCGUACGUUGUGAGCAACUCGCUGAGAAAUUCGUUUUCGGCACACGCGAUGUGUAUUGACAAACUUGGCCUAUGGCCUCGACACACUUCUACACAACUAGUGCCUAAAAAGCAUUUAUCACUCGGUGGCGUAAAUUCAUUCACAAGAAAUCGAAUUAUUUGUAAUUUUGAAUAGAAAUACGCAAGGAAAUGCCACUUUCGUAUCCACGCUGUUCUCCGUUUGAGAGAAAUUGGAGACGUCAAGAAGAACCGCUUGGAUACGAAAGUGGAAUUUUUUACUUGUGCAAAACAGUAACGAAUCGAAUCAUUAAACUGAAUCUCA